This is a long non-coding RNA of Herpailurus yagouaroundi (jaguarundi), 190 nucleotides long. RefSeq lists it as uncharacterized. NCBI's taxonomy places the organism in Eukaryota, Metazoa, Chordata, Mammalia, Carnivora, Felidae. The transcript has 2 exons. The record is from RefSeq and is a predicted model, not a curated record.
UUCAACCUUACAAAUUCAGGUUUGUGUGUUAACCUUCAAAAAUUCAACAUUAGAUAUGUACUGUCUAACUUAAUAUGCUGAUAUUACAUUUCAAAGUCAAAGGUAAAAUGCUUUAAAUGAUGAAAGAAGUUCAACAGUUCUGGCUUUUCCGUUUUCUUUCUUAAAUUCUCACUCUAAAUAAAAUAAAAUU